CGGGGAUAACAGGCUGAUCUUCCCCAAGAGUCCAUAUCGACGGGAUGGUUUGGCACCUCGAUGUCGGCUCGUCGCAUCCUGGGGCUGGAGUCGGUCCCAAGGGUUGGGCUGUUCGCCCAUUAAAGCGGUACGCGAGCUGGGUUUAGAACGUCGUGAGACAGUUCGGUCCCUAUCCGCUGUGCGCGUAGGAGUCUUGAGAAGGGCUGUCCCUAGUACGAGAGGACCGGGACGGACGAACCUCUGGUGUGCCAGUUGUUCUGCCAAGGGCAUGGCUGGUUGGCUACGUUCGGGAGGGAUAACCGCUGAAAGCAUCUAAGCGGGAAGCCUGCUUCGAGAUGAGGACUCCCACCCACUUGAUGGGGUAAGGCUCCCAGUAGACGACUGGGUUGAUAGGCCGGAUCUGGAAGCACGGUAACGUGUGGAGGUGACCGGUACUAAUAGGCCGAGGGCUUGUCCUCAGUUG
RNAcentral lists this ribosomal RNA (463 nucleotides) under Streptomyces sp. SID5998. RNAcentral describes it as "partial 23S ribosomal RNA". It matches the Rfam family "Bacterial large subunit ribosomal RNA", at positions 2469 to 2925 of the family's 2925-position model. The record is from RNAcentral. Lineage: Bacteria; Bacillati; Actinomycetota; Actinomycetes; Kitasatosporales; Streptomycetaceae.